AGCAUUACGCCGGUACGAACGGAUUAUAUUGAUGCUAUAAAUUAUAAGAAUUUAAUUCUUUAAUGUUU
This 68-nucleotide transfer RNA is filed under the name Bathysciadiidae sp. MNHN-IM-2013-40843. RNAcentral's name for it is "tRNA-Ile". The record is from RNAcentral. Lineage: Eukaryota; Metazoa; Mollusca; Gastropoda; Bathysciadiidae.